RNAcentral lists this ribosomal RNA (498 nucleotides) under uncultured bacterium. RNAcentral's name for it is "bacterial SSU rRNA". It matches the Rfam family "Bacterial small subunit ribosomal RNA", at positions 29 to 543 of the family's 1533-position model. The record is from RNAcentral.
CGCGAACGCUGGCGGCAUGGCUAAAACAUGCAAGUCGAACGCGAAAGCGGAGCAAUCCGCAAGUAGAGUGGCGAAAGGGCGAGGAAUACAUUUCUAACGUGCCCCGAGGUCAGGGACAGCUCAGGGAAACCUGAAUUAAUACCUGAUGAUCCCGUCGUGUCGUAUGGCGUGACGGGCAAAGGUUUACUGCCUUGGGAUCGGGAAAUGUCCUAUCGGCUAGUUGGUGAGGUAACGGCUCACCAAGGCGAAGACGGGUAGCGGGUGUGAGAGCACGGCCCGCCGCAUCGGGACUGAGACAUUGCCCGGACUCCUACGGGAGGCUGCAGUAACGAAUAUUCCGCAAUGGGCGCAAGCCUGGCGGAGCAAUGCCGCGUGAAGGAUGAAGCCCCUCGGGGUGUAAACUUCUGUCAGAGUUCACCAAUACAUUGAGGAGACUCAAAGGAAGGGCCGACUAACUCUGUGCCAGCAGUCGCGGUAAUACAGAGGGCCCGAGCGUUG